Molecule: non-coding RNA, 26190 nt
Organism: Taeniopygia guttata (zebra finch)
Lineage: Eukaryota; Metazoa; Chordata; Aves; Passeriformes; Estrildidae
Source: RefSeq, a predicted model, not a curated record
CAAUAGGAACACCUGAUGUCUUCUAAAGGGAGACGAGGGUACAGCAAGGCAAUAGGAAUAACGGGGCUGGGGCCAGCGCUCCUUCUCAGCGGGCGCCUUACAGCAGAGCCUUUCCCACCACUUCCCGCUGACACCAUUCCCGUCCCGGUGUGCGGGCGGAGGGACGGCCGCGGCUCCGCGCCCGCCCCUCGCCCCUCAGGCCGGCGUUACCGCCUUCCCCCCGGGCACCGCUGGCGCCGUUCCCUUGGCCGUUCCCUCAGCCUCCGCUGCGCGGCGGGCCGGGCCGGGCCGCGCCGCGCCGCUGGGUGCCCGCCCCCCACCGCCGCAGCCGGCGGGCUGGCAGCUCGGAGGCUGCUCUCCGUCAGGAUGGUUCAUCACUCCGGCUCCAUCCAGUCCUUUCGCCAGCAGAAAGGUAUGAAUACAAGCAAGAGUGAGACAGUGAAAGAGCAUCCAUUAAAACCUUCUAGAAGAUCUAUGCCAUGCCUUGCCCAGAGCCAAACACAUCCUCAGAGCCUGAGCAAGCAUUCUUCAUUUCUGCAGCAAAACUGUGUGCAGCCACAGCUCCAGCCCCAGCCCUUGAGUGCAGGGACAUCAGCAGCUGCAGUGGAUGUAGUGUCAGAACGAGCUAAAGUGAUGGAGACUUUGGAAAACAACUUGCUUAAGCUGUCUAAUACAGAAUAUGGUGAUCCAUUUUUAGGCACACAGUUUGAUGUGAUUGGGAGUGGGGCUGUGGCGGAUCCCCAGUGGAUGCAGCUGCGCAGGACAGAUGUAGGAAAGAACAAAGAUACAUAUACAGAUGAUUCAGAACACGGGAAUUAUGAUGCUCGUACAGAUCAGUCAUUGCUUAUUCAAAAUAAGCUCAUCAGGCAGAAAACAGAACCUCGAACUAAGUCAUCUUUAAAGAGUGACACCAUGGCAUCAUUAGGACUCUUCUUCAAAGAUGGCAAAAAGCGCAUUGACUACAUCUUGGUCUACAAGAAAUCAAGUCCACAGGUAGAAAAAAGAAGUGUGUUUGAGAAGAAUUUGCGAGCAGAAGGGCUGAUGUUAGAACGGGAGCCAGCUGUUACCAACAGUGAUAUCAUGUUCGUUAAAAUUCACUGUCCGUGGGAGACAUUGUGCAAAUAUGCAGAAAGAAUGAACAUCAGGAUGCCUUUCAGGAAAAAAUGUUAUUACACUGACUGGAGGAGCAAAACCAUGGGCAGUUUGCAGAGGAAUAUUAGGGAGCUGAAAAGCUGGUUGCCAAGAAAUCCCAUGAAGCUUGAUAAGGAGGCCCUGCCUGAUCUGGAGGAAACAGAUUGCUACACAGCCCCCUUCAGCCGUGCUCGCAUCCACCACUUUACAAUAAACAACAAAGACAGCUUCUUCAGCAAUUCCACAAGAAGUAGAAUUGUGCAUCAUAUGCUACAGAGAACUAAGUAUGAAGAUGGAAAAUCCAAAAUGGGUAUUAAUAGGUUACUAAAUAAUGGAACAUAUGAAGCAGCAUUUCCACCACAUGAGGGAAGCCACAAAAGCAGGCAUCCCAUCAAAACACAUGGAGCACAGAAUCACAGACAUCUCUUGUAUGAGCGCUGGGCACGAUGGGGAAUGUGGUACAAAUACCAACCUCUUGAUUUAAUCAGGCGAUACUUUGGUGAAAAAAUUGGACUGUAUUUUGCCUGGCUGGGAUGGUAUACUGGAAUGCUUAUUCCUGCUGCUCUGGUUGGGCUCUUUGUUUUCCUCUAUGGAUUAUUUACAAUGGAUUCCAGCCAAGUAAGCAAAGAGAUCUGCGAGGCAAAUGAAACCAUUAUGUGUCCUAUGUGUGAACGCAAUUGCACACUACAAAAACUCAAUGAAAGUUGCAUAUAUGCCAAGGUUACACAUUUGUUUGAUAAUGGAGGGACUGUCUUCUUUGCAAUUUUCAUGGCAAUUUGGGCAACAGUCUUUCUAGAGUUUUGGAAAAGACGGAGAGCUGUGUUGACUUAUGAUUGGGACCUCAUAGACUGGGAAGAUGAGGAGGAAGAGCUGCGUCCCCAGUUUGAAGCUAAAUAUUCCCAAGUGGAAAGAGUAAAUCCCAUCACAGGAAAACCUGAACCUUUUCAACCUUUCCCUGAUAAACUCAGUCGACUGAUGGUGUCUGUCUCAGGAAUAUUCUUCAUGAUUUCACUGGUCCUUACUGCAGUGUUUGCAGUUGUGGUCUAUCGGCUGGUAGCCAUGGAGCAGUUUGCUUCUUUCAAGUGGUAUUUCAUCAAGAAGUAUUGGCAGUUUGCAACAUCUGGCACUGGAGUCUGUAUCAAUUUUAUGAUCAUCAUGUCACUCAAUAUUGUGUAUGAAAAAGUUGCCUAUCUCCUGACAGACUUAGAGCACCCUAGAACAGAAUCUGAGUGGGAAAACAGCUUUGCCUUGAAAAUGUUCCUCUUUCAGUUUGUCAACCUGAACAGCUCCAUCUUCUACAUCGCCUUUUUUCUUGGCAGAUUUGCAGGCCGCCCAGGAAAGUACAACAAGCUUUUUAACAGAUGGAGGCUGGAAGAGUGUCAUCCUAGUGGCUGCUUGAUAGAUCUAUGCUUACAAAUGGGAGUUAUUAUGGUUUUAAAACAAAUGUGGAACAACUUCAUGGAACUAGGCUAUCCUUUAUUACAGAAUUGGUGGUCACGACGCAAAAUGAAGAGAAAAGGGCAAUCAAUGGAGAAUAAAAUUUCCCUACCUCAAUGGGAAAAAGAUUGGAAUCUGCAACCUAUGAAUCUCCAUGGCUUAAUGGAUGAAUAUUUAGAGAUGGUUUUACAGUUUGGCUUUACCACCAUUUUUGUUGCUGCCUUCCCCCUGGCACCUCUCCUGGCACUGCUCAACAACAUCAUAGAAAUCAGGUUAGAUGCAUACAAGUUUGUCACUCAGUGGCGAAGACCCAUGCCUGCAAGAGCAACAGAUAUAGGUAUUUGGUAUGGAAUUCUGGAGGGAAUUGGAGUUCUGGCUGUCAUCACCAAUGCCUUUGUUAUUGCCAUUACUUCUGAUUACAUUCCACGUUUUGUCUAUGCAUACAAAUAUGGUCCCUGUACAGAUCAAGGGUACAGACAAGAAAAAUGCUUAAAAGGAUAUGUCAACAGCAGUUUGUCAGUAUUUGAUUUGAGUGAACUUGGGCUGGGAUACUCAGGAUACUGUAGGUACAGAGACUACAGAGCCCCACCAUGGAGUUCAACUCCAUAUGAAUUCACUUUGCAGUUUUGGCAUGUCCUGGCAGCACGACUGGCCUUCAUCAUAGUAUUUGAGCACCUUGUUUUUGGAAUAAAGUCUUUCAUUGCCUACCUAAUUCCAGACAUACCCAAAGACUUGUGUGACAGAAUGAGAAGAGAGAAAUACUUAGUCCAGGAAAUGAUGUAUGAGGCUGAACUGGAACAUUUGCAAAGAGAAAGGAAAAGUAAUGGAAAACAGUAUCACCAUGAAUGGCCUUAGUCAUUACCAAGCUGCAACAAAAACACUGUUUGAAAUUGGAGAGUGAAUUUACAAAAUGAAGUCAGUCUGGCAUCAGUGUGAGGUUUGGUCGUGGUGUAUAUAUGUUCUUGCUAGGCAGUACAGUUGCAUACUUUGGUGGCCACCGAGAAAUAGAUGUUUCCAGUGAUGUCAAUGAAAAGCCUUACCUGUAAGUGGUCUGUGAUGAGCUCCAAAGACAAUUGGCAUUCAGAAAUUUGUCCAGAGUGAAAAUCUGGACAUUGUUUUAAAAGCAGGCAGUGGAUUUUCAUGCUGUUUAUGAAGAUACUAUACUAUCAGUAUGAUAUUACAGAAAAUUACCUGUGAACCUAUAGAGUAAGGGCAUGACUAAAACCAAUUUACGUGAUAUCCACUACUUCUACAGCUUCUGAUUGCUCAGCUCUCUCUGUAAUAACUCUAAAGAAAAGAGCAGUUGUUGCCUUUGUGGCUAUGACUUGAUCCUUCAGGCUUACUGUUUUGUCAGGUUUGUCCUAGUCUCUUGCUGAGGUUGUGGAUGUGGUCCUACCCUAAAAAAGGGGGUCUGUGGCUGCUAAAUAUAUACUAUGCAGUUUGAGAUUUGCACAUCAUUAUCAUUAAUUUACCCAUCUUGAAAACCAAAAAGUUCAAAUUCGGAAAGAAAACAGCAGCACCAGGAGAAGGUAAUUUUCUGUUUGAAAAUUAUACAGCUGUUGAUUUGUCUUUGCUCUUUUGUGUGUGAAAGGCCAUCUCCACAUGCUUCCAGGAUGAAAGAACUAUCAUUUUCAUGCUAUGUUACUGUUCCUCUUGAUCCGCCUGGGCAAUGAUUCCAUGACUUCACAGAGUGCUAACUUGAAAUACUCCCAUGCAGUGCAAAUUACUUUCUCUUCAAAACACAAUUAUAUCUUUAUAGGAUGCAAGUUUCUGCCAAUAUAUAUGAGACAUACAGUAUAACAUCAUGGCUUGCUUGUUCAGGGAAGGAGAAGAGCAAUUUGUAACAAUGUUCUUCUUAUUGUAAUAGUAAAUAUUCUUCUUUUAUUGGUCUCAAUAUGUCAUAACAUUGGAGCUGGAUACAGGCAAAUAUGUAUACAGAUUGUAUAUGAAUGCAUACACACACAGUGGUUACUCAUAGAUUUACUAUUAUUAUUAGUAUGCCCUCAUACACUUUGGGGAGGAAUUUUUUUAUAAAAUCACUAAAGAAGUAGAUGUUCAUUGAAGCAUCAAAUUUCAGUUUUUAUGUGCAAACAGCAUACUGCAGUGUUGCUUGUGGUUAAUAGUCACAUUUUGGUGAUGAAAUUGUCUGUUACUAACAUUUCAUAAUACAGGAAAAGCACUUCAAGGUUAAACAAAUUUGAAGGGAUACCUUGCAGGGAAGGGAAUGGAUAAACAGUGUUACAGUUGUUCUGUUUCUCUUGUACUAUUUUAAAUAAUGCUUCUCUGUAUUGGAUGAGAAAAAUCUGAAAAACAAAGAGUCAGCAAAGCACAGUAGCUACAAAGUCUACAAAUGUUGACAUUAUUUUUAGGGAUAAAGCUGCAGCAUAAUCACGUGUCGAGUAUUCACUCGUAUUUAUUAGCUCAAUAAUUUUAUCUUAUUUCACUGAAAUUAAUUUCAAGAGUCAAGAGCCCAUCGAAGUAGUUAACUAGGAUGUGUUGUAUCCAGAGAGCCUAACAUCAGACUUUUAAGUUCUUCAGUUGUUUCACCACUUUAAUGAGAUUUCUUGAUUAAUUUCAGCUCCAUUACAAGCAAGACAAGGCACUUGUAGGGGUAUCUAUAGUACUGCCUGAAAGGAGGAAAGAAAUUUGAAGAAAAAUUUGAAGAUCUGGCCCAAUCAGGGGUAGAGCAUGAACACGGGGGAAGUAACUUCAAGGACAAGAUUGACAUACAUCUGCAUCAUAAAGAUGGUCACUGAUAAAGCAAAAGCAACAGAGGGGCUCUUCAUAAAAAUACAAGCUAAAUGUAUCAGGUGAGUCUGUGAGUUGUCUUGGAUGUUUUCAUUCAAUCUGCUUCACUGAAUUGUGAAUUUUGUUUUAAAACAAAUAUAUUUAUUGAAAAACUAUAUCCAGAAGUUAAUCAAGGUGAGAGGAGAUCUGUUGGCUUUUAUUUUCAACCAGCAGGUUUUCAAAGAAAUGUGUUUCACUGAAAGAGAGCACUGAAUGGGCUCUGUUUCCAAGACAGUGUAUUAGACAGAUUAUUUUGCCUAAUUAUGUAUAUUUUUUUUUUCAAAAUUCAGCAUGAACUAUCAAUUAGGAGGGAUGGUCAUCAUUCAAUGUUGCUUUAUUUUCUUUAUUGCAUAAAAGUAGAUACUUUUGAUACUUUAGAUACACAGAUAAAGAGCUGUGGGAUUUGUAAUUUUAUCUUCUUCUCCCCCCAAUUCCCCCCCCCCCAACGUGUUCCACCUUUGUCCUCUGACCCAGCCCGCCCCUCCCCCCUCCCCCCGCGGUCCUUUGUCUUGAUCCUGCAUUCCCUUAUCACUCCCCCUCGCCACGCGGUCUGUCCCUGCCCCUCCCCCCCCCGCCCUUUCUCUUCGCCGCUCCUGCCUCACCAGGGCCUCCGGGGUUUCCCUGUCCCUGCCCUAUCCCCAUUGGCUGCGGCUCAUGUUCCCCCCCCCCCCCCCGGCACAGGGUAUAACCAACCCCCAGUUGGUGCCCCAGCGUCUUGGGAACACGCUCCCACAAUAAACAUGUGUUUGCACCCGAGCCCCGUGUCGCUAUUUUGUCUAUUCCUGCGCUAGAACUGAGCCUCGCAGAGCCAAAGGGGAAAAGCAGCCCCGCCUUUCCCCGUGCUCCUGCAGGUGCCCACCCGGAGCCAGUCCCGCACGGCAACAAAUGGUAGCAGAGGAUGGUUAUUUCCAUUGAUUUGUGAAAGGGGGAGAGAGAAAGGAACUCUGCUGCCGUAAGAGCUCUGCACAUGCUAAGAGGAGUUGACACACCGGGCGGAAAACAAUCCUGAAGCUCUGGGGACCCUCCUCCGUCCUCGCUGGCGUGCUCUCUACCCCGCCUGGGAGCAGCUGCGCUGCCGGGGCAGCCAGACUGCAGGGGCCAUGAGCCGGGUAGACUUACCCGAGGACAAAGAAGACAGUUUGGCAGUGGCUCAAUGGACUGAGCUCGAAGAGUGGCCCGUCAGGGGGCGGCAUUUGAAUGGAGACCAGAGGCUGACAGUGGCUGAACCCAGGGUUUCAGAGGCGAGCCCUGGUUAACGGGAACACCCAGGCUUUUGGGAGAGCCAAACCGCAAAAAGAAUAUGUCCUCAGUCUAGCACGAUUUUCCGCCACCGAGGAGAGAGAUAGAGAUUUCACUGCCCGAGCCCAGAGGGUAAGUUGGGUCAGAGCAGGGUGGGACCCUGGCGGGCAGCUGAGCUACCUUUUUUUCUUUUCUGAGUUUUAACCACCAUCCGCGUUCAGACAGGGACUGUAGCCUUGCAUGUCCCUGGCGGCCGGGAGGUUUUUUAUUUUCCGAGGAGGACGCAACCUCACUUGGUCUUUUUGGGGUAACUCAUACUGGAAAGCUCCUUCUCUUUCUCGGAAAGCUGCCUUUUCUACCCUCUCCUCGCUAUUCUGGGCUAUGGGGGCAGGGGUGGUCAAAAGGACACCAAUGGGACAGAAUUGUAAAUGGCGACAUGUCAGCUAUGGGAGAAGUGUUAACAUCCUAAGAGAGGCUUUUCACAUCCACGCAUUUCGUCGGCUUCCAGCCGCGUCGGGCUCCUCUCCUGUAGUUUUCCCCUUCAGCUUCUGCAAAGCUUCCCAUUCCCGUUUCCCCACAGACUUUCCCAAACCUUCUCCCUUGGGGAUGGCCGAGGUCGAGCUGCUCCAAGCGCCCUGCCGGACACUGUUAUCCUCCCUUAGGGGUGGCAUUGGCCAUGCCUCCCCGGGCAAGAUGCAGUGCACCCGGCGCCCCCUCCCAAGAUGGCGCUGGCCAUGCUACAGGGACCCCAUUUUCCCGCCUUAACCCUUCUCUUCUGCUCACGUUUUCCGGCCAGCCCCACCCCUCCUCCCAAUGGCCCUGCACCAUUCUGCAGCAAGGCCAGCCCCUAUUGGGAGGGAGGUGAGGUUGGAUUAAUCCCUCAGUCCUUCUUCUGGCCCCCCCUCUCAUGGGAGGGAUUGCCGGAGGGGUCCCUCCGUUAGAGGACCUCCCUUUGUAAGAGAGCUUUCCCCUUUGCUGGGGGGGGACCCCCUUCGAAGGGAGUGGGGCUGGAAACUCAGACCAGGGCUCCACUGUUUUCUUUCCCCUGAAACAGUGGUGCCCAGGUUUACCCCUGUAUCCCAUCUCCUAAAUGUACCUUGCCCAAAGUUCCCUUAUUAUUUCAAUACAAGUUUUCCCCAUUGCUUUGGGAAAUUUGGAAAUAACUUCUUGGAUUGAGUUCUAUCUUAUAGAAGGAAAGAUCAUCCUCUCUAAUUACUGCCCACAAUGCUAUGCCAGCUUCGCAAUCAAAUAAUCAAAUUGGAGAAACCAUGUCGCUGCUUCUGCUCUGCUAGAAUUCGAAAAACCACAAGCAUCGCAUCAUGAAACCUGCUUUCAUCCUCGAUACAGAAUGUGUUUAUGAUAAUUUUGUACCCUUUAUCUUAAAUUGUGAUGUGGAAAAGAUUUUUGCCCCAUUCAUUGUAACUAUGAUUGGUGUAUCACUUUCUGAUAUCUCUCAACUUACAUUUUCUCAGUAAUUUUUAAUGUUGUCAAUUUGUUUUUACCUCAGAACUCCCUUUCCUUUAUGUAAAUUCAAAAGAUUGAGUUGUGGGAUUUGUAAUUUUCUCUUCUUCCCCUCCCACUCCCCCUCCCCCCUUCUGUCGUGUUCCCCCUUUGUCCUGCAACCCAGCCCACCCCUCCUCCCUCCCCCCGCGGUCCUUUGUCCCCCCCCUUUCCCUUUGCCGCUCCUGCCUCCCCGGGGCCUCUGGGGUUUCCCUGUCCCUGCCUUAUCCCCAUUGGCCACGGCUCAUGUCCCCCCCCCUGCCCCUGGCACAGGGUAUAACCGACUCCCAGUUGGUGCCCCAGCGUCUUGGGAACACGCUCCCACAAUAAACACGUGUUUGCAACCGAACCCCGUGUCGCUAUUUUGUCUGUUCCUGCGCUAGAACUGAGCCUCGCAGAGCCAAAGGGGAAAAGCGGCCCCACCUCUCCCCUCCUCCCACCGUGCUCCCACAGGCACCCGCUGGGAGCUUGUCUUGCAUGGCAACAAAGAGCUAUUCUGAAUUCAAAGUAAAAUUUGUUAUUCUGUCCUAUAGCUUUUACAAUGAGAAGCUAUAAAGAAAACUUGAAUUCCCCAGAGGAAGCAAACAGAGUUAUCUCAGUGACUGAAAGACCAGUCUGGUCUAUACAGGGUUCUUUUGAGGAGACUUUUUGUGAUACUUGGGUGUAGACUCAGCCUGACCUCUCUUCUCUCCCUCCAUCAGAGGGCAGCUCACAGACACCUUAGUGAGAUAUCUCCCAAACUUCCCUGAAGUCUUAGUUUAUCUCAAGUUCACCUUUGCACAUUCCUUUUAAUGAUGAGUUGCUGAAUAAAGCAGGUGAUGCAGAUGUAUUGCAGCUGUGUCUGAGUAGGAGCUUCCACAACAAAAUUAAUGAAACAUUUCUUCUGAAAUAGCAGUGCUUCCAAAACCUGAUUGUCCCAUCAUUUCCCAGGUCUGCCAAGAGAUUUGUAAAUAAAAAUCUGGCCUUUAUUGCUACAGAGAGCAACUGCUCCCUCUUGGUCACCUACAAGCUGGUAAGUGAAUUGAAAGAAGUUACUAAUUUCUUAAGCUGAAGAACUAAAAUUUGAUUAAACGUCCUUUGUCCCUCAGCUUCUAGAGGUGAGAUUCUCUGCUUAUAUUUGUAUAUGAAUUUUCUUCAGAAUUGUAACCACGGAUCUGGUGGUUAUUUUCUUUGUUGGUAUUAUUCCUGAAGGUCUUAUCUGUUCUGGUUUUAUUUGCAGCAGCUUCCGGAAGUUUUUUCUCAAAGUCCAUCUGAAAGAAAGGAACAAAAUACCCUUAUAAUUUGAAGCCUGUAUUCACUGCUUUUUUCUUUUGAUUAAAGAAAAAUUAUGAAAACAGUGCAAGAAGAACAGAGGCUUUCAUUCUGUAUGCCUUUUUAAUGAGCUACAAAGCCUUGGGACAUCUGGAGAAUAGCUGGUCCUGUUGCUGUGGAGGAGGAGGAGGAGGAGGAAGUGGGAAGGAACAGCUCAGAUGUUGGUGAGUGCAGCACUGCCUGGUUGUUGUUCUCUGGUGCUGCUCUGGAGGGCAGAAGCCUCAGGAGCUCUGAUGAUGGGGAUGACAGCAGCAAGAGAGCUUCAUGAGCAUGUGAGUUCUAAAGUCUUUUUCUCUGAGUUUGGUGGAAGGCAAUAGUUUGGUGAACUGUCUAUUGCGUAAAGUGCAGUUUUGUCCCAGCAGGGAGAGGGAGGUCAGACACUAUUUUGAUGCCUUAAGCUUCAGCUUUUAUAUUUUUCAUAUUCUGUGCUGCUUUAGUCUGUAGUUCUGAGCUUCAUAUUAAGUGUUGGUAAGCUCUUUUCACAGAGUGGGUAGACAAAACAAUUCCUUUUCUACCUUGGGACCAAGGAUAAAUGAUCCAAAUCUCAGGCCCAAGAGCACAAACAACAUGGACUGAAGAGAGAAAAUCAAGCAGGAUGGGACUUCAUGGGCUAAAGCUGAAUUGGACAAUGAAGUCCAAGAUGCAAAUGGAGCAGAACUGAUCAAAGUGAGAGCCCCCGUGAGCGCUCGUGCAUUUUGGGACCAAUUUGGUUCUUCUUGGGUGCAGCCCUGGAUGGGCUCUUGUGCUACCCAAGGUGUGUCCAUUGAGGCCUUUUACUAAAUCCCUGUUUUAUUCUUUAACUCUGUCUAGCCUCUGCUCUAGGUCAGCUUCCCAAGGCAUCAGUUCUGUGAGCUCCUGGCUUUCCCGAGGGCUGUUUGUUUUUUGAGGGCCUGAGUCCCCAUAUUUGAUGAAAAUGGGAAAAAUAGGUAACUUAUUCCUGACUGGGGUUUGGCUGAUUUCAUCUCCAGUCUGUGCUGCUUAUGCAGCAUCCCUUGCAUAAGUUCAAGAGCAGCUGUUGAAGGCUGGUUAUUUCUUUGCUCAGCCCAUGCCCUCACGUGGGCACAUGUGUUCCCACUGCUCCUGGGCCACAGCAGGGCUGAGCUGAUGGGGUCAGCACUCACCUCCAGGCUAUCGUGCCGCACACCACACCAGAGGAAUACUUUGAGUCUUUUGGACCAAAAGCAAAACAAGUUGCAGACUGGUUUAAUUAACACUGGUGGGAUGUCUUCUCCUUUACUAGGUCCUGCAAAAAGAAAAUAGUAAUAAGUGGAUAGCUGGGUAUGAGCCUUGGGACCCUCAGACCAUGAGGUGGGGGAGCAGGAUCAGAGCCCACUGCCCUCUUCUGAGUUUGUGUCUUAAGUCACCUACUAGACUUUUUAAAAGCUUUUUUAACAGCCAGAUGCAAAGGUAUAUAUAUAUAUAUAUAUAUAUAUAUAUAUAUAUAUGUAUGUAUGUAUGUGUAUGUGUGUGUGUGUGUCUGCAUGUUUAGGCCACCAACCUGUUAUAAAGCUUAUCAACAGCCCGGUGAUGGCACAGCCCACGCAGCCGAUGGCACUGAAGUACAGGUAGGACAGGGAGUACCAGGUGUCUGCCAGCAGAGGCCUGUGAAGAGGUGAAAAAGCAGCUAGUGAUGAGCAACAACUGCAUUUGAGCUGUUGCCUGACUGAGCCAGCAAAAACGCAGCUCAUGAUGCAGCUGGUGUGUCAUCUGACACCAGUCUGCACUCCCAGCCUGCCCUGGCAGUACUGCCUGCACCGCAGCUGCAGGCUGGGGCGGGGCACACUUGGCAAAACAUAGGCUUAAGUGGUAACAAUAGGAGAAAUACCUCUCUGGAGCCAGUGUGGGAGCUGCUGUUAUCAGUGCCUCGGUGCUGUUAGCCAGGGUGCAGUUGAGGGUAGACAGCUGCAGAGGGAUGGACUUUGUUGCUGGUGCCGGGUAGAUGAAAGAGCCAAUACCAGCCCAAAAAGCCAAGCUGAUCCCAGCUAAGAGGCCUCCGAGAGCACCCUUGGCAAGUAUAGAAAGAUACCAUUAAAGAUGAUCUGUGGAAAGUGCUUUUCUGUGAAUGUGAAUUAGGCAGGAGUAGGUAAUGAUGGGUUAUGGUGUACAUAAAUUCUGUUCUCUCUCAACUAAGGUAUAAAGCUCUAAGGUAUUUAGUGCUCUCUGUUUGCAAAAGUUGAAGCAGAAGUGUGAUUAAAGCUGUGAUACAAAUUUUAGUUUUACUUCUGCUAACCUUGAUGGGAAUCCUGAUGAGGCAAUAUGGAAUGAGCUCAUGUUGUGUUUUGAGUGAAAGACUGAAGGCAAAGCUUUUGAAUUCACUCCGUGGAUCCCAAGACUGGUGCAAGUAUUGAGUAAUUUUUUUAUUCUUAAUGAAACCCAGAAAAAAAAAAUAAGAAAGCACUCAUGUGAAUCUAAUCACUAAUUAUUCCACAGCUGGGUAGACUUAAAUUCGGCAGGAUAAAUCAGCUAGGGAAAAGGCACGUGUAUAAAUAGAUCUUAGAUCCUCAGGCACUAAAACUGAAAAGCAGCUCAAGGACCCAAACAAUUUUCAAAAUUGAGUUUUAACCAAAAAGCACCAAGAGAUUUUCUUUUAGAUCAGGAUUUUUGUUUCCUUACCUUCCAGUUAGCACAGGGAAACACAAUUCCCAGAGUAAAUAAUCCCAGCAUGGGCCCCCCACACAUCCCGUGGAUGGAAAGGGAAGCCUGUAGGUGCAGAGAAGAAUGAGUUCAGGGCAGCAGCUGAGGGGAAGCAUGCUCAGUUCUGAUUUUGAUUUAUAAUUUUCACUGGGAAAAUGAUGAGGGAGAAGGGAUAAGGAGUGAUUUCAGGGCAAAAUUACAGAGAGAAUCAAUAUUGUUUCCAAGCAGAAGUCAAUAGAGAAAGAGUUAGGGGAUUUCUUUUUUUCCUACUUAUUCCUCUCAGCAAAAUGUUUACUAGAAAUGUUUUGGGUACUCUAGCAGCCAUCAGAACUGGCAGCAUUAUUUGCUCAGUUCAUUACAUUUUGUGUUCAUUCCUAUUGUAUUAGCUGCAUUUCUGAAGCAAGAAAUACCUGCACGACUCCUCCCAGCAGUGAUGCUGCUGCAGCCAUGGAAGUGCACACGACACCGUAUAGUACACCUGGAAAAGGUAAGGUAGGGAGGUUCUCAGCCCUGGUUAAUGGUGGGGAUGGUUUCUAGCUCAGUAGUGUCGGAGGUGACCAGCCAGCAGGGAGGAACUGGCCCUUCUGAUUGGUUGUUUAGAGUAGAGUAUUACACACCCAGCAAUGUCUUGUGUGAAGUCUCACUGGGUUUUUGGUUGAUUGAUAUUUUACAAAGUAAAACAAUAUCAAUUACACUAAUUUAGAAGUUAUGCCUCAUCUAGAAAUGUUUCUGUUGCCUUUAAGUAUCGCUUUUAAAACAAUCUAAUAAAUGAGUGAGAAAUUAUAAACCAGCAUGACUUUCUUCCCUUGACACCAGUUUUAACUUCAUGGCAGGUGAAACUCUGUAUGCAGCAGCCUUGAGUAAAGCCAACCAAAACUUCUGUGCUAGCACACCUUGGUUUCAGACAUCAAAAUUAUCUUUCUAGGUCCAGAGUGAAAAAACUAAGUAGUAAGUGGAAAAACAAGAAGGGAGAAUACUAGAAGCAGUUACAGGGAUAGAAAAUAGACGGGUUUGGUGCUUUCAUUAUAUUUGUGAAUUGUAGUAGAAUUCUUAUGAUAGCCAUAGAAGGGUUAUGAUCUUACUGAAAUAAUUGUAACAAAUAUCCUAAAAAUUGAAAUCAUUUUGGAUGCUUGAUAUAUUGAUGAUAUUUUGUGGGCAUUUUUACUUUUUUCUCUGAAAAGCUGGAUAAUCUGCUUAUGCAGUACUCUGAGUUUGAAUAGAAAUUAUCUACUGUAUUACUCUAACUUAAUAUUACUAUGUAGUAAUGUGGUAAUAACUACAUUAGCAUGUUUUCUGUGUUAUGAAGAGUGUUUUCUAAUAUUUUCAUUAGACCAAACUUUUCCAAGGAUUUUGAAUGGUGGUUGUUCAUGCUAGUCUAUAUUUGUUUCUCUGCCAUAUGAUGCUGAUGAUACUACCAAGGCAUCAGAGGGUUUAUCAAGUGUUACAUUCAUGUUUCUGAGAGAGUCUCUCUGUGCAGUGCCCUUUACUGCUAAAGAAAUGGGUCUCAUCUGGAGUACCCACACAAGCCUUUGCUGAUCCAUGUGCUCAUCUUCUCGGAGACAUUUGGGAAACCUUUCUUUACCAGGUCUUCAAAGGUAACGGUUGCUAAAGCAUUGAUGCUGGCAGCUACUGUGCUGUAGAAAGAGAGAAGAAUAGUAAGUAAAUAGGAAGCAAUAUAAUCUGAAAUAAAGUUGUAUCGAUAAAGAAAAGUUUCCUCUUUUUCCACACUAAUGCUCUCCAAGAACUGUAUGAUUCAUAGUAUUUUUCAUAUAUGCUACUUUAACUGGGGAGGUUUCUGCUGCUUCUGCAAUUGCUGGGGGCUCUGCUUUUUGCUGGCAUGGAACAAGAUAAAAACACGUCCAAAAUGACCCUUCCUUUUACAAGUUUGCGAAGACCUUAAGUAUAGAUAUAUUCCAGAAUUAAAACCUCAAUCCUUUAAAAAUUGAAGGAUGUGCAGUCACCACUAGUGCCACCGUGGUCCUCCAUGAAUGGCCUAACUCUUUUAGCUGGAUGAGUGAGCCUGUCUUUGGUGAAAAUAGUUCAGAUAGACUUACUGAAAAUGUUUAUUGCCACUAUGUUAUUGUGGCAGUUACCUUAAGUAAAGAGUGUUUCACCAUAAGCAGCUCCCAAGAGUAUUUUGGGAAGUUAAACUCAGUUUUUCUACACUUUCUUUGUAUUGAUAACAUUAUUCUAAAAUGCAUUUGGGAUAAAAAGAUACUGGAGAUGUGGACUUAGACAUUAUCAUAAAUGUAAUUGUAGAAUAAUUUAGGUUGGAAAAGACCCCUAAGGUCACAGAGUCCAGCAGUUUACCCAGCACAGUCAAGUCCACCACUAACCCAAGUCUCUAAGUGCCACAUCCACAUGUCUUUCAGAUAUCUCCAGGGGAUGUAACAUAAUUCAACAAGGAACUACUGCUACUUCCUAGAAUGUUCUAAGAGAAACAGCUGGGCUUUUCUUAGGGUUACAUAUUUUGACCUCAUUCUGGAUCCUCCAGAAAUUAUCAUAAACAGCUAAAAUGUCAAUUCAGAUUCACAAACCUUAAUGUUCCACUGAAUGCACAGGCAACAAACAGUCCUGGGACUCCUGGCAUCAAAGAAAAGAUGUCCAUAACAAAGUAUGGCAUGACCUGGGACAGGAGAAGCACAAGAGAACACAAGAAAUUAUUAAGGAAAUGCAUCUCUGUAUUGUGGACUGAUUGACGCCAUAGAGCCCUAGCCAUGUAAAUGUUCCCCCAAUAACUAUUGUCCAGAAGGUAUGUCGUCUCAAAGGAUCAACAUCAAAGCUAGAAGAAGGAAAGAAAGAAAGAAGCAAUUUAGUUUUUUUAUUUAAAUAUGUUUUUUUCAGCAAGAGGUACGUGAUUUUUUUUCAGAAUUAUCUGGCAUGUCCUACCAUCUGAAUCAAAAAUUCUGCAUUGGAAAUACUGUUUUUCAGAACAGACAACAUGCAGUGUAUUCAGGUUUGGAAGACUUUUUUACUUUUAUAUUGGAACACAUUGUUUUCAAGUCAGGAUAGCCAAAUAUCAUUCAGACCUAGUCAGAGGAUCACUUCAUUCAGAUUAACCAAAUUUAUAAGGGUGUUUAUGCUCAGACAUCUGACCUGUGUCAUAUUGUAGCAGAACUACAAGCCAUAGUGCCUGAGACCCCUUCUUUUGUAAGGAACAAGGUUGCUUACCAAACUCUAAAAAAAUCCAGCAAACUUUUAAUAAUAAUAAUUAUUAUUAAUAAUAAUUUUAUUUAUAAUUAAAAUAAUAAUAGUCAUAAUAUAACUUCCUUUACAAGACAUUGCUUCAGCUGCUGUGUUGUCUUUUGUACAACAAAAUUCUACUACUCAGCAAAUCUUACUCAUACAAGUAUAUCUUUCUGUUUUGAAGGUGUCACCUUUGCAGUUCUCCUUAUCUUGGUUGAGACAGCAGGUAACAUUUGACUUUGCUGCUGGAUUAUGUUACUGACUUGUCUUGAUUAACCAACCAAUGCCACAAACAGCUAAAGGAAGAUCAUAUUUCUGUCCCAGUGCACUGGUGCAGUAUUGCCUGCUGCAGUGGUGAGUGCAAGUAAAACAUAGUGUCUGUUUUAUGAAUAGAAAAUGAAAGAUAUAUACACUUAGCCACUGAGAUUAGCUGUGUUUAGAGCAUGGUGCUAACAGCAUCAAGGUUUCAUGUUUGAUCACUGUAUAGGCCAUUUACUUAAGAGCUGGACUUGUUGAUCCUUGUGGAUCUCUUCCAACUCAGAAUAUUCUGUGUAUGAAAUUGGAAGGAAUAAUUGGGCUGCAUUUGUAGCUACACACACACAAAAAAAAGCAAAUCUCUCCUUCAUUUCAGCAGACCUUUCAUUUCUUGAAAGAGUCAAGAGUUCCUAAAGGUCAAAUGCAUUGCCAAUAUCUGAAGAGAUGAGGAAUGGACUUCUGUGAGUCACCAAGGUUGUUUAAUAGCAAGUCUGUGUAUUUUUGGCUUACUGAAGGUAUGGUUUCUAAACAUGAAAUGUACAGAGAGGAAUGUUUUGCAUCAUUUGUUUCUUACUCAAAUAUGUUUAGCCGAGAUCCUUCAUGGGCAUCUUCCCAGACUUUGGUUGCUCCACCAUUCAGAUUAGUUCCUCGAAUCAAAACUGCCACGAAGCCAGCCACCAUAACAACCAUUUGAAAUGCAUCUGUCCAGACAACAGCUUUUAAUCCUCCCUAAAACAAAGAGAAACUGUACGCACCCAAUCUUCUUUCCUGUUGCUCAAGUACUGAAAAAUGUAGAAAGACUCCUUAUUUUGACAAGCUCCUGGGCUGUAUGUACAGCACCCAGCAAAUCAGGGCUCUGUAUUCUCCCACAAAGUGUGUAUUUUUGCAGGUCAGAAAAUUUCACAUCCUAAAUAGUUUGUCUAUGGGCACAGAAGAAUAUUUGACUUUCAGUUAAAUGCCUUUUUUUCCCUGACUCCUUUAUAUGCAUUUGAAGACCAUAUCAUGGUGUGGAACACAAGCUUAGGGAGUUUUGGCCUGUUCCUACAUCCCUUAGGACUCCAUACAUUCUCAGAGCCCACAGUUAGCCCAACACGGAAAAAUAGCUCUGGAAAAUUUGCCAUUCAGCUUUCUUCCAUAGCUACUUUCAUAUUUGGUCAAAUCAGUACUAGAGCAUAUAAUAAGUGUUUUCAACACAAGUGAUAUAUUGAAAAAAAAUCAUUAGUGUCAAUGAGAAUGGCAAUUAGUUUGUGUCCUGAGCCAUAGGGCUCUGCUGCUUCGGUGCAAAUAUCUAUAAAAUAUAUCUGUUUUGGAAUUUGGAGUCUCAUGUUGCUUCCACUCAAAAGUAAAGCUCUCUGGCCUGUUGAUUAUCCCUCCUAGGUUUUAGUGCUUUGUUCUUGGGCAUGAUUUUCAUUACAGUGUUUUUCAGCCUAUAAUUUGUAAAAGAUAAGAAUCAUCUUCUCAAAAAACGACAGGGGAAGCUUAUUGCCUCCUUAUCUGGACUCUGUCCCAAGAUGUCUAGUUUAAACAUGGAGACAUACAGCAAAGGAUUAGAGAGGAUUCUUUUCCUCCAAAUAGACUUCCCUAUAACACAGAACAUAUAAGAAAUUUAUCUCUAUGUACUCAACAGGAGCCAUCCUUGUCUGGUAGUGUGUCAUAAGAUGGUCAAAUUAACCAUCUGUGUUCCAACUGUUCAGUUAUGUCUAUUACAUACCAGAGUGCAAUAGAAAGUGCAGACAAUUCCUGUUGCAGCUACAGAGCCCCAGAGAUCAAAUCCAGUGACUGCAAAACCAGUGAAAACAAAAUCGUUAGUCAAAUGGGUGUGAGUCAUCUGGAAGGUAGCAGAAGAGCUGUAGUCCUUGAGCUUUAGAAGGAUAGGAGUAAUCACUAAUUUUAAUCUUUUGUGUCUAUUAGGAGCUUUGCUGGAUUGUUCAAGUUUUGUAGAACUUGUGGAUACUGUUUUGCAUUGUUGUUUUCUUUCAAAUUGAAAUUAAUUAACUUUCAAGCAAAAGUAAGAAUACUUGCAUAAAGCAAAAAUGUCAUUGUGAUGGGACAGAGCUUUAUAAGCAAUGCUUCACUUCUGUUCUUAGUCCAGAACUUUGUUAUUGAGAAACCAAGUUCUUCAGAGAUUCCCAAAAAUCCUAAGAUGAGAAAAACCCCAACCCAUAAGUAAAUACCAUUACCUGCAUCUAAGAAUGAUUUAAUGCUAAAAUGGGCUUAAUUAAAACAAAUUUCUGUGUUCAUUUUGCUUUGUCAAGUUUCUUUACACAAAAUGCACGAAUUUUUUUUUUGGCUGAUACUGAAAUCUUACCCACCAGUCAAAGUCUGUGAGGGCAAAAGCUAUUUUUAAAGGUUCUCCUAUCAACAAAGUUAGUAUGGUGUAAUAAUGAAUGAGAACUUUCACAUGGAAUUCAGCUGCAUGACAGAGGAAGAAAAUUUGGCACUGUGUGAGCGAUGGGAUCAAACAGACUGAAUGCAACUUGGAUAAUUAACAAAGAAAAGAGCCUCACAAUCGCUUUCCAGUCAGUUUUGGUAAAAUCAGGAUUUAGGCCAUGAUGAUUCCUUGUGCCAUGAUGAUUCUAUGUGCCCUAAAAUUACAAAUCCUGUCUAUGGUGAUGGAGGCUUUAUGCCUACUUGGCAAAUAUUAAUUGAAGAAGUCUGGGGACAGAGAGCAGAACAGCAUUCAUCUCUGGCUGCAGGGAAGAGUUAUUCCCAUGGAAACCUGAAUACAAGAGACAGGGAUAGGAGGAAUCAAAGUACAUAAUAUGGUCUUGGAUCAUCAGCUUGUACUGUGAACUUUGUCAGGAUGUUGGGAAAUUGUUUGCUUCAAGUCUCUUCAGGUGGUACUGAGUGGGAAGGAGAGCAGAAGAGCAAUCACAAGGCUCCUGCUAAUGUUUGGGUGUGAGAGGAACCUGGGGAGUCAGAAAUAGAGAGCUAUAAGGGGAAGGCAAAAACCUUCUUAUAGGGCCUUUGAGCAGGGUUGGGGUUUUAUCCAUUUUUGUUACUUCAUUUACUCAGGCAAUCCCUUUGGUGUGCUUAUUUGCAGUAGCAGUGUAGUGCAGCAUAAGAACUCACCCUGGUUGAGUGCCAAUGAUGGAGCAUAGACCACAAUUCCUGUGUAAAGGAUCUGAAGGAGAAAAAUGAUGUAUUUUGAAUGCUCAGUGAUAAAACUUGUAUUUAGAGUAGGGCUCUAAUACCUAAAAUACCAGAUAUAAAAUACCAGAUUUAGGGGUUUCUUUAGAUCAGCUUGUAUUGUAUAAGGCUUUGUGUUUCAGCCCUUAAAAAUUAAAAUCUUGUGUUUAAUUCCUUUCUGAGGGGAGGAUCAUUAUUUGUCUUUGUAUUACCUAUUUCUCUACUGCUAAGAAAAGUAUAUGACAAAAUAUCCUCAUGAAAUAGAAAAAGGGUAUCUGCAGAAAACACAAAUAGUGUUAACAGAAAUAAAGUUGCAUUGAUCAUAGAAAUUAAAUUUUCAUUUUUCCAUUCAGUCCCUUAAAGUAACUGACUCAAUACCCUUUAUGUUUAAAAUCUGAGAUAACUGAUGGAGAAACAAAGCAUCAAAGUCAAUAAGUGUUCAGAUCUAUUGCCAAAGGUUUGGGAAUUAUUAAAAUGGAAUGAAUGCAGAAGUAAAUGUCUCCUAAUCUCCCCUCAAGUCCCAUCUUUCCAUUAAAUACACAAAUAAUGUAACCUGUCAAGAUGGUCACAGCAGUGACCAGUGCAUCUGCCCAGGAUACCUUGUAUAGCAGUUUUCAAAUAGGAUAGUUCACCUCAGUGUCAUAAAUGGGUAACUAAACAUACCCAGUGAAGCUUGACCAGCUGCUCAAGAAAGACAGAAUCCACUUAUCUGGGAAGAGAGAGGCUUCCAGUGAACAUAAUAAUAAUGUGACCAAGAAUGUGCCGUGAGAGUACAGCAGUACAUUCGAGUGUUAAAGACAACUAAAAUGGCAUUCUUAAUACUAAACAGGAAAAUUUAGGGAAGUCAGAUAGUUAAAUAUAUAAUCAUACUUUCUUUGUAGCAUUCAUGGUUCAAGUGAGAAAACGAAGAAAAAAGAGUACUCAUUAAAACAUCUCAUUAUAAAAUAUGUGCUGUCUGAGACUAAUCUGUGAAAAAUCAAUGCUGACUGAAAUUAACAUAAAAAAGAGUCAAUGUUAUCUUACCGUCUGUAGGAUGUAAAUCAGUGUUGCAGCAAGACGGACAAUCUUGUUAAAUCUUAACUCCAAAUACUAGGAAAAAGCAUAUUCUCAAUAAAGUGCACAUGCAGCAUCUGUGACACAGCCGUUACCCUUCUGUUUGCCCCAAGUGGCACCUUACUGUGCAAGUAAACUUACUGGCAACUGGCACUGCUGCUAUGAGCAGCUAACAAGGAGAGCAGGAUUGUCAUUAGACAGAAUGAUAAUUACAAUUAGAAAUCAAUCUUCUCAUCUGUAACAUGUACAUGAUGGUGUAUAUAUAAUCAGUGUAUAGAUUAUAUAGAUAUAAUUAUAUAGAUGAUAUAAUCUAUGUACUGAUUAUUGCAGUAAUCGAUACCUUCUUUGUACCAGGAAUAACUGGAAGAUCCCAAGAACUACAAAGAAAUUUUAACUUCAAAUGAAAGUAUGUUCCAAUUAUACAAUGAGGAAACUUGAGUUCAUCUCUAGCAGAAAUAGCAUUGAUUAAAAGUGGAGGUGGAGUGAUGGUGAAGCAGCGACAUGGAGUUUCCUGGUGCAGGAGCUAGGUUGGCUUUUCCCCUUGUUCUAUCUCAGCCUAAGGCCAAAUCUGCACAUCACCAAUAUGGAGAGGCACAAAGGGGGAUCUUAUGGACUUUCAGGCUCAUGGAUGUAGAGAGUUAAAAGAACUGCAGAGGCGAGUGGAUCUCUAGACCCAAAAGCCCAGGUUUUAAGGCUGAAUGAUCACCUGAGGUCUCUGCAGAGUUUCUCUGCCCUGUGGCAGCCUCUAUGCAGGGAGACUCUUCUUGGGCCACAGUCCCACAUGCCCCUCAACAGACAUCAGGCAUGGCCUGUGUAAGUUUUCUCUCUUUCACAAGUCUCCAGGCUGUGCACUUUGUACUGCCAAAGCAUCUUCUUUUUUUUUUUUUCUUUUUUCUCAUGCUGAUCUUGUGUUUCUUGCAUAAUAAACCCCACAGUCCACCAUGUAAAUACAUAGUGAAUUUAUGUAACUUUACCUAUUUCUAAAAUUAACUCAUGAAGCCAGCAGUCAUCUUUCCAGCAUGCUUGAAGAGUCUCUUCAUCUACAAUAUGACCCUUUUGCUGGUUCAGAUGACAGAAGUAAUUAAUUCUCUGACAUUGGAUCAAAACCAACUAGAAAAUGCAAUUACUUGGAGCAAUGGUCAAUUUUACUCUUCACUGUCCUGAAGAUAUUUCCAAAUACCCAGGCAGAUCUGUUUGACCAAAUUUGUUCCUCGUGUUUGGGCUCAGUGAGCACAAGCAGCCUUUCUGUUACCAGAAGGUUCCUUGUGAACGAACCCAGUUUCAUCAUCCAAUUCAUGCUUAGUUGAAACUGCCCACAGAGGAGCAACCAAACUUGCAGGAGCUGACUGAAGUGAGUAAGAAGCCAUCCCAAAUUAUCAGUAACUGUCCUGUGGAUGUGCAGUUUAUAAGGGCUGCUACUGAACUGUGUUAAGAAGGAAAAAAUGUGUUCCAGAGAAAAUGCCAGGCAAAAACUCUACAAAAUUCAGAAGUUACUAAUUUAUUUUCCUAGAGAAUGCUUGAAUUCAUUCUCCAGCCCUGACUUUUUUUUUUUUCUUUCUUUUUUAUUAUUUUAACCAGCCUGCCACCUUCUUUCUUUUCUUCCCAUCUCAGCUACUUAGAUAUAGUAACUUGGCCAGAAUUACUAUAUCUAGACUAGUUUGAAUUGGAUAGUAUUGAAUGUUGUUCUUAAAGUCUAUCUCUAAACCAGAGCAAAAUUUGGAUAUGCUUAAGUAUUUUCCAGCUGUAAUUUAAUUUGGUGCUGUGUGUAAAUCCAUAUCCUCUCUGUGCUAUAUGCGCAUAAAAGGAGCUCUGACCCUUAGAUUAUGAUUUCAGCUUAUACAAUAUAAAUAACUAGUUUUGUAAUGCAAAUUAUUUCAAAAAAUAAUUAAUAUAUCUAUAUAUUUGUUCUGUAAAACACUGCAGAAGUUUUUUUGUCAAAGAUUUUUCUCUAAAAACUAUAUACAUGAUAAUUAGUUAUGCUAGAAUAGUGUCUUUAUUUUAUUAUUUUUACUUACCUCGUAAGUGCUUGUGAUGCCAGAUCUAUAAAAAACAGGUAGGAAAAGUUCAGAAGUAAAAAUUAUGACAAGUGUAUAUGAAAGAAAGAAGAGCACAAAGGAUGCCCCAUAGCGAUAAACUUCAGAGGGUGUCCCCAGGACUGUCACUGCUGACAUGAAACUUGAUGUAAGAGAAAAAGCUAUGGGUCCACAUGUCAUCUGCUUACCGCCCACCAAAAAUUCCUUUGAAGUUUUUUUUUUCCUCUCUUUAACUGCAAAAAAGACUCCAAUGCUGGCAGAGACUAAAAAUAAUGCUGCAAAAACAACGUAGUCCCAAGUCACAAAUUUUUUGAUUUCUGGAGCUACAAAGUUUGGCAUUGCACCAAUUGUAUAAUUCUUUGAUGGAAGAUUCUGGUUUACUGUGGCUGCUGCUCCAACCAGAUUAACUCUGUUGACAGCAGAGCUGAAGCUUGUCUGUAGCUCAGCAAUGACAAAAAAUAAACUUUAAGAGUGUUCAGCCAGAACACUUUUUCUAAUCCAGUUCAGUUCUAAGGAGUUAAAAAAAAGGUAGCUAAGGAUGAGUUAAGGAGGAAUGCACUUAGACCCAAGUACUGCAGGUGCUUUUGCCAAGCAAGCUGAAAUAAGGGACUUAGCUGUGAAAUCUGUAGUACAAUCCCUUUUUAUCUCUGAUGUGUAAGUUUAAGGUUAAACAUUAGCCUGGCACAUUGACAUGAUCCAACUAUUUUCUAACAUCUCAGCAUUUUAAAAUAAUGAAAUGAGAGCAAUAGAGAAAAAAAUAAAGGAGAGGGAAAGGAAGGAAAGCUCAGUGUACAAACCUGUCAUCUCACUAAUGAGUUUGUUUUCAGAGAAGCAAUUUCCUCAUAUGGUUAAAAACGGAUCUUGAAUGCCAGCAAUAGUCUUUGCAGCUGUCCUUUGAGAUGCUAAGUGUGCUCCUAGAAUCUCUGGAACUUAAGGUGGCCGUAAGAAACUGAAGUGUUUAAUUGUUAAAACUAAUUAUGGUGCUUCCCUCCACCUGCUGUAGUUCAGCCUUGGUGUGUUUGGAAGCCCAAUGGACCUCCAGAUGAACAGAAGUGUGGUUUGUGCUGCACUGUCUGAGGGUGAAUUACAGUUAGAAACUAAUUUUUAACUGGCUUCUACUGAAGAAGUUUCUGUGGGUUCCUGUGAGAAAUUACUUAUUUAUCCAUAUAAAACUUUGUUGGAUUUACAGGACUACAGAAUCAUAGAAAACCAGAUUGAACAGCAAUAUUUAUCUUAACUAUGUCUUUGGCAUAAUUUUGUAAAUUCAAUUAUUAGGUUUUCCUUUUGUGUUUUUGUUUUAGAUAAUUGAAUAUUCAUUUUAUCCUCAUUAAUGCUGUAACAAUGCAUUUUCCAAAGAACCAGGAAAUUAUUUGUCAUCCUGAAGGAUUAACUUGUACAGAGAGGUAGUGUGUGCAGUCACAACCCUGAAAGAAGGGUGGGGUUUGUAUUGUGGAAAAAAAAAAAAAUUACAUAACCUGGGAGAGCUUUAAAUAGCAGAAGUCCUUUUCUUCAGCCUUGUUUUGGUUGGGGAUGGAUCCCCACAUCUCCUUCUUAGUUCAUUGGUAAAUAGAGGUGGUUUUGCUGUGUCAGUAGCAGCUUAGUGUGUGUCCAGACCUGAAGUCUUCCUGUUCCCAUCCAUUGUUCAGGAGAUGGACUUCUGCCCAUGUGUGAAGUAGAGAUUGUGCAAUUUUAUAGUUGAUUUUGGUGAGACUGAGUGUGAAAGGGGAAGCAAAUCCAAACCAAGAUACUUCUUUAAAGGUACUGCUGCAUACAGAGAAAGCACUUCUAGUCCACGUAAGUUAAAAAUAUGAAGUGUGGGUUUGGGAUCUUAUGACCCCAAAUCUAUGGAAGACAGGAUAUGGAUGUAGCAGUUGCCAGAGCACAGCAUUGUGUAACCGUGAGUGGUGAAGUGGAGGGGCCAGAAGAGACAGCAGUGAACCACGUUCCAUGAUGUGGAUCAGAGUCAGUACAGGUAACAUGCUGAGAGUUUUCACACAACUGUAUCCAAGUAUGCAGCCAUCACUAGUUAAUAUUUCUCUUUUGUACAGACCAAAUGCCUUAAAGUGUUACACUCUCAAAAAAGCAGCCAAGUAUUCCUCUGCUUUUGAGAGGGUUUUUUUUUUUUUUUUUGCCUCUCCCUCCCCUUUUUGCUCUUCUCUUCUUAUAAGUGUGGACAUGGAUAUGGAUAUUUUCUGAAUGUUUUAUAUUAAUAAUACCUACAGGGUCUUAUUAAUAAGUGUCUCUGGCAAUGGUAAAAGCUAUGCCAGUACAACAGGGAGUUUCUGGGGUCAACCGUCAACCCAGUCUGGCAGUAGGCUAAUUUAAUGGUGUUUGUAUGCAGCUUGUAGGGCUCACUGGGAAAACCAUAGAUUGAUCUAGUUUGAUCCCAGGAACAUCAAAUGAAUUCACAAAAAGAUGCAAACCCUCAAACUUGAGGGUAUUUCUUCUUAAAUUUGAGUUGCUGGACAUGCAUUAUCUAAAUGAGACCUCAUCAGCCUUACAAUGUUGAGAGGGUAGAGAACUGUUUAUAAAGCUUGGGAUAAAAAAAUGAAAGUAUAAAGCAAAUGAAAAAAUAAUCAUCUGCGUCAGAAGGUUUCUCUCCUUGCCAUGUUACCAAAGAAACUGUAAGUGGAAGAUCCCUGUAAUAUCCAUUCUAGGAAAAUAAGUGUAGUGUAAAAAUUUCUUUUGGCAUUAAUAUAAACCUGCCAAAAAUUUUUUUUAAUUGCAAAUGUUUUUUCCAGCAGAAAAGUGGGGAUUUUUUUUGGAUGAUGGUAUAUUACACAAAGUAGGGAAAAACUAAUGGACGAACAAACUGAAAAUCAAGCUAGAAAUGUAAAUUUGUGUAUUUAUCAUGCCAUAGUCUUCUGACACAUUUUUCAGCAUCAUGUUGUGGGAUUGUUCAGAAUAAUCAUUUUGGCUAAAUCCCACAUAGAAAAAAAAACUUAGAAAUAUGAUUUCUGGAGAAAAAAUAUUUUUAAAUAGUAUGGAAACACUUGUUAUUAUGUUGUGAUGUUAUUCUUUGUGUGGAAAUAAUUGAUAUUUUUAUUUCCCUGAAAUAAGAAGAUUAUUUUAAAUUUAUUUAUGCAAACUCUUGUGAAACUGAUUUUUAGCCAGGGUAACCCAAGGAAGAGCCUUCACUUUUUGAAGAUUCAAUACCUCUUUCAAUAUCUGACCAAGAAUCUGAAAAGAAAUUCCAAGUUGACUGUUUCACUUUUCCAUUCCAGGCUAUAUGCAGCGGAGGUUCUAUGUCAGGCUUUACUUCAACAUCUGAAAAAAGCACUUGAGGAUAGCAAAGUUAAGGGUGUGACUAAUGAGCUGCAGCCUGACUUGCUGCAGUCAGGCAGGAAAACUUGCAAGGAAUGCUCCUUUCCAUGAGCUGCUGUCCCUUUUUGCCCCUGAUUGUGGGGAACAUAAGAAUAGCCUUUUGAGGGGGAGAGGAGACACAGCUUGAGUGAAUGGAUAUAUAUCAUUGCAUCUUUCAGAUUGAGAUCAGGGAAAAGACAGACCUUAAUUUAGCAUUCUAUUGGCUUGAGAGUUGAGCAUCUCUUGUAGUGCUUGUGAGACACACCUGCCUUAUCCUAAAAUGCAGAAAAGUGAUGCCCUGUGUGCCACACUGUGCAUAUUUAAUAGCAGUUCCCUAUGAGGAAGCUGAAGACACAUCUGCCUGAUGCUCUCACCACCACUACUACAUUGUCCACUCUUGCUGUUCUUUUUUCUUUUUUUAUCUCCUUGCAGUGAGAGCUUUCCAUUUGGAGUAAAUGCCAGUUUGAGAUGAUAGAAAUUAUCCCUUUCUGAGACCAGACUAGAAUCAUGUAGUCUGAUGCUCAGUGAUCAGAUUAUGAACGGUUUUCUGACUCCAGCUGAAUUAAUCUGCUAGAUACCCUUUGUCAUGUGUAACAGAUCCAGGACCUCACCCUUGAUCAAAGACUGACUGAUCACUAGUACUGAGAAGAAGAAAAAUGAGUUUUGAAUUCUGAAAUUACUUAAAAUUUUUUCAUCUUAUGCACUUAUAUUGAUGCUAAUCCAGUAUUUGAGUCUGAGAUCUGUCCACUGUUACAAACAUAAGUGUAAUUCUGUAACAUAAUAUCAAGUCAGAUGUAGAUUUGAUAUCCCUUUGUUGAUAUCCAUUUGUUGGUGCUACUUGAAAUGCUUAGAUCUAUACAUAGAAAAUUAUUUAACUUACAAACUUAAGAUCUCCUCACAAGUUGUACACUUUGCAUAGUACCCAUAAACAGCAACAGCCUCUAAAUAUUUUAUAAAAAAUAAACAUUAUAUGAAUUUCUCUAAGGAAAGUAUUUCUAACACCUGGGUCAGAAAGUUUCUCUGUUUAGUAUAUUGCUUUCCACUAGAAAUCAUUUAAAGUGCAACUGUCAGGUAAAAAAAUACCUGCAGUGUUUGAUCACAGGAACAUCAAGUGAAAUAAGUAAGUGCAGUACUGAAGGAUAUUUUUUUUCUAAAAAUGCAGAUAAUAGUAUAAAUUCUGUGACUAAUAUAU